Molecule: long non-coding RNA, 1105 nt
Organism: Oryzias melastigma (Indian medaka)
Lineage: Eukaryota; Metazoa; Chordata; Actinopteri; Beloniformes; Adrianichthyidae
Exons: 3
Source: RefSeq, a predicted model, not a curated record
CCCCAACAGACAACAGUCCUUAAUUAAAACCGAAUCUCGGGUGAUGAGCAGAGAGCUUUAAAGACACCAUGUGAUGAUCCUAUUGUGAGUCUGCACUCUCACAGACAUCCUCCUUACACUGUGGCUGUAUCAUCUUCUGCACACAUGAGAAAGGUGAAGGUCAGGAUCAGCUGCAGGGGAGCAGCAGAUUCACAGAUGCUUCAGUCAUGCAUCGCGUGCACUUUGUCUUCACUUCCACGGCGGCUGACAGUGGUGGUGGCGGGAGGGGGCAGCUGCUGAGCGCUUAGUAAACCCUGGAGUCGGCAAUCAGCAAACGCAGGUUUGGCACGUUUUCCUGAGCACGCUCUGUUUAUGCUUGUAAGCAAUUGAAGUCUUUAAGUCAACAACACAUUUACGGACCAAAUCUAUUUAUGAUGGACAUAAAUAAAUAAACAAGAGUUUUGAACAAGGAAGCUCGAAACACGCAUACGCACGCGUUUAUGUAUGCAAUGUUCACCGCGGGCAAGAAUGUGCUGUACCCGAUUCAUGAACUUGCUUUUAGCACAUGGUGUUCACAUCGGACAAGCAGAGAGGAUUUACAAAGACUUUUCAUUGCUUGAAAGCGCUUGGCGUUACUGGCGUCAACUAGGGGUAUGUUUUGGCAAGAGUCUGGUGGUACAAUGCAUAUUCCAAUACAUGUCUCACAAUACAAUAUGUCACAAUAAAGGCUGUACCAAAACAAGUUUUAACUUUUUUCUUUUUUUUUUAAUAGUAAAACUCUACCUGAAUAUUAAAAACGUCUUUCAUUGUAAUUUUAUCUGAGUCUACAAAGCACCACAAUCACAAUGUUACUGGCCACGCAACAGAUUCUCAAGUCGUCACAUAUUGACAAUUGGUCAAGGACACCUCCCCAUCCCUUUUCUGACGUUUUGAGUGUCCCAAACUCAAUGUUUUUUGACGUGCUGGCUGUUCAUAAAAUCAAGGGUCUGCAAUCCCAGGACGUGGUACCAGAUCCGGUAUUGGAUGUGGACUGGUCCUUGGGACGUGUCGUACCGGUACCCUAACCCGGCAUCGUACACAAUACCAGACCCAAAACGGUACCAGAUGCAGUGCUGGACCCAAACCA